CCCCCGGGUUUUACAAAACAUGUCCUGAUGUUUUAUUAUAUUAGGUUUAACCUGCUCAAUGACUUUAUAUAGUUAAAUAGCCGCAGUAUUUUGACUGUGCGAAGGUAGCAUAAUCAUUUGUCUUUUAAUUGAAGGCUAGAAUGAAUGGUUGGAUGAGGGAAUAACUUUCUUUAUAUUAUAUUAUUGAAUUUAAUUUUUAGGUUAAAAAGCUUAAAUUUUUAAGUGGGACGAGAAGACCCUAUAGAAUUUUAUUCAAUAAAAAUUUAUGAAUUUAUGUUGAAAUUGUUAAAUUGUAAGUUCCUAUUGAAUUUUGUUGGGGUGACAUUGAGAUUUAAUUAACUCUCAUAUUUUAUUUUUUAUAAAUACAUAUAAUAUAUGAUCCUUUAUUAUGGAAACUAGAUUAAAUUACCUUAGGGAUAACAGCGUUAUUUUUUUGGAGAGUUCUUAUCGAUAAAAGAGUUUGCGACCUCGAUGUUGGAUUAAAAUUAGAUUUAAGUGCAGAAGCUUAAUUUUCUAGGUCUGUUCGACCUUUAAAUUUUUACAUGAUCAGUUUUCAAC
RNAcentral lists this ribosomal RNA (558 nucleotides) under Banasa alboapicata. RNAcentral describes it as "partial large subunit ribosomal RNA". It matches the Rfam family "Bacterial large subunit ribosomal RNA", at positions 1793 to 2615 of the family's 2925-position model. The record is from RNAcentral. Lineage: Eukaryota; Metazoa; Arthropoda; Insecta; Hemiptera; Pentatomidae.